GUGAAUCAUCGAAUCUUUGAACGCACAUUGCGCCCACUGGUAUUCCGGUGGGCACGCCUGUCCGAGCGCCAUCACACCCCCCAAGCCUUGCUUGAUGUUGGGCGAUGGACGCCUCCGAGCGAACAAGCCCCAAACCUCUGGGCGCCUACCCGCCGGCCGCUAGCGUAGCAAGUCAUCUUCACUCGCUCGCGUGUCCGACGGGGGGGUCGCCCCCUGAAAACAUACAUUUUCUUAGGUUUGGCCUCGGAUCAGGCGGGGAUACCCGCUGAACUUAAGCAUAUCAAUAAGCGGAGGA
This 295-nucleotide unclassified non-coding RNA is filed under the name Veronaeopsis sp. RNAcentral describes it as "partial contains 5.8S ribosomal RNA, internal transcribed spacer 2, and large subunit ribosomal RNA". The stretch from base 1 to 71 matches the Rfam family "5.8S ribosomal RNA", at positions 84 to 154 of the family's 154-position model. The record is from RNAcentral. Lineage: Eukaryota; Fungi; Ascomycota; Dothideomycetes; Venturiales; Sympoventuriaceae.